This 250-nucleotide ribosomal RNA is filed under the name uncultured bacterium. RNAcentral's name for it is "partial 16S ribosomal RNA". It matches the Rfam family "Bacterial small subunit ribosomal RNA", at positions 524 to 773 of the family's 1533-position model. The record is from RNAcentral.
UUCGGGUGAGGCAAGCGUUGUUCGGAAUCACUGGGCUUAAAGCGCGUGUAGGCGGCUCGGUAAGUACCUUGUGAAAUCCCUUCUCUCAAUGGAGGAACUGCUGGGUAUACUGCCGGGCUUGAGGCAGGUAGGGGUCACUGGAACUCUAGGUGGAGCGGUGAAAUGCGUAGAUAUCUAGAGGAACGCCCGUGGCGAAAGCGGGUGACUGGGCCUGUCCUGACGCUGAGAUGCGAAAGCGUGGGUAGCAAAC